AUGAGACAGAAAGACACCAGCACUCCUACUAUCACGUAGGAUGGUAGGAGUGCUAUUGUCAUUUGGCAGGACGGUAGUACCUCCCUGGGUGGUUGCUGUCUACCAACUUACUACUCUAUACAAUAUAAAGGGAAAGGGGAUAGAAGAGAAUGUAAAAAUUAUAGGGGAAUAAGUUUACUGAGGAUACCAUGUAAAGUAUAUGGUAGGGUUAUUAUUGAAAAAAUUAGAGGCGAGAUAGAGAGCAGGAUCCCAGAUGAACAAGGUCUUCGAAUGGGUAAGGGAUGUGUAGACCAAGUGUUUACACUGAAGCAUAUAAGUGAACAAUAUUUAGACAAAGGUAGGGAAGUUUUUGUUGCAUUUAUCAAUUUAGAAAAAGCACAUGAUAAGGUAGAUAGGGGAGCAGUGUGGCAGAUGUUGCAAGUGUAUGGAAUAGGUAGUAACUAAAUGCUGUAAAGAGUUUUUAUGAGGAUAAUGAGGCUAAGGUUUGUGUGCAUGUAGGAGAGAAAGAGAUUACUUUUCAGUAAAAUUAGGCCUUAGACAGGGAUGUGUAAUGCCACCAUUGUUGUUUAAGAUAUUUAUAGAUCGGGUUGUAAAAAGAGUAAAUGCUAGGGUGUUGGGGAGAGGGGUGGGAUUAAGUUUUCGGCAAUCAAAUACAAAAUAAGAGUUGAUACAGUUACUUUUUGCUGAUGAUACUGUGCUUUGGGAGAUUGUAAAGAGAAGUUGCAAAGGUUGGUGGACAAGUUUGGGAGGGUGUGUAAAGGAACAAAGUUGAAAGUGAACAUAGAUAAAAGUAAGGUGAUGAGGGUAUCAAACAAUGGGAUAUCACAUUGGAGGGAGUGUAGAAAACGUGAAUGUGCUCAUAUAUUUAGAAGUAGAUGUGUCAGUGGAUGGGUUUAUGAAGGACAAGGUAAACCACAGAACUGAUGAAGGAAAAAGGGUGGAUAAUGCAUUGAGGUAUCUGUGGAGACAACAUUAUCAUGGAGGCAAAGAAGGGGAUGUAUGAGUAUCAAGCAUGGGUUGCAAAUGCUGCAGCAAGGAGGAGGCUGAAGGCAGUAGAGAUGUUGUGUAUAAGGGUAAUGUGUGGUGUAUAUAUUACUCAUGAAAAUUUGUAGUGUGGAAAUUAGGUGUGGAGCUACUAAAAGUAUUAUUCAGAGGGCUGAGGAGAGGUAGUUGAGGUGGUUUGCUCAUAUAGAGAGAUGGAGCAAAAAAGGAUGAUUUGGAGGGUGUAUGAAUCUGUAGUGGUGGGAAGGAGGGGCAGGGGUCAUCCUAGAAAAGGAUGGAGAGAGGGGGUGAAAGAAGUUUUGUGUGCAAGGGACUUGGACAUACAGCAGGCAUGUGUGAGCACAUUAGAUAGUGAAUAAAAUGAAUGGUUUUUGGGAUGUGAUGAGCUGUUGGAGUGUGAGCAGGGUAAUAUUUUGUGAAGGGAUUCAAGGAAACUGGUUAGCUGGAUUCGAGUCCUGGAGGUGAGACUUGCACUUUAACGGAGAGGUUUGGGAUAUUGGUUGUUUGGGGUGACAUUUGAACUGUUGUAUCUGGGCACCUCUGCAAAGACAGAGAUUGUGUGAAUGAUGGUAAAAGUGUUUUUGCGUUUUGGGUCUCCCUGCCUCAGUGGGAGAUGGCUGAUGUGUGGAAAAAGUAGAAAUACAAAACACAAUUACCAUACAUUGAAGUAAUAUACUGUAUACAAUAGUCAGGAAUAAAGACUUGGUAUAAGUUAAGGCUAGGAAUUCUAUUUGUACAAUAAUUGACUUAGUAGUACAAUGCUUGCACUCUGAAGAAGGGGUGGGGAUAGUGCAGUUUGAAGGAGCAUCUGAGCUGUAAUAAGAUUUUAAUACAAUUGUUUGAAAUUAAUCAACUUCUUUUAUGCUACUUAAAAGUUUAGUUGUUGUCUUGCUAACUUAUUUUUUUUUUCUAGAAUGAAGCCUCACUGAUGCAUCUUUCUCUAAAUAUUGAUUUACUUACAUUCUUCUUCUAUGAUCUUAUACUGUAUUUACUUGCAGCAUUUGAUUUGUCACUGAGUGAAGGGCUGCAAUUUGAAAGACUAUUAUUCUAUGCAACUUUUGCUACAAAUGAUUGUGCUGAAGGAAUAGCAGCGUUUGUUGAAAAGAGGAAGCCAGUAUUUACAGACAGCUGAGAUUUAUCAUUUACUAUGUAAUGAUUAAGAACUUGUCUAACAUAGCAAAAUAUAAGCUGAAAACUGAUAAUUAGGAAAAAAUAAGUUUUAUAUUUUACUUAUGGCUUAGCGCUUCUUUUUUGAUUAUAAUAAUAUAUUUUACUUAGCCUCAUAUAUCAAAAACAUUGCUAGAACAAGUGUAGAAGUUUCGGCUAAAACAUGUACAGUGGAUCCUCAGCUUUCGUGUUUAAUCUGUUCCAGAGCCAUCGCCCAAAACUGAAACCAUUUUCCCCAUAAGAAAUAAUGUAAAUGGAAUUAAUCUGCUCCAUACACCCAGAAGUAUCAACAAAAAAAUUUGUUUUUACAUUAAAGAUAGUUACAUGGACAAAAGAAUGAACAUUACACAUGAUGCUUACCUUUAUUGAAGGCUGUUGUUGCUGGAAGACAUGGAGGAGGGGAGAGGGAAGAUAGGUUAUUGUUUGGAAGGGGAAUCCCCCUCCAUAAGGACUCUAGUUACCAAGUCCUUAUCUGGGGUCACUUCCCUUCAUUUUUUACUGCCACUAGGACCAGCUUCAGAGUCACUGGACCCCUGUUGCACAAAAUAUCUGUCCAGAUAGGUCUGUUUCUGGCAUCUCUUAAGAUUUGCCUAAAAUGGGACAUGGCAUUGUCAUCGUAAAAGUCACCAGCACGGAUUGCAACAGCUUUCUCAGGGUGAUGUUCCUCCACAAAUGAAUGCACUUUAGUCCACACUGCGCAAAUCUCCUUAAUCUUUCAAGACGGCACUUUCUUCCAUCUCUCUUCCUCCUCCUCUGAAGUAAUUUCCUCAGCUGUGGCUUGUUGCUGUUGCAGAUGAAGCUCUUGCAGCUCAUCAGUGGUUAGCUCUUCAUUGUGGUCCUCCACCAACUCUUCCACAUCCAACCCCAUGGAAUUCCCCAAUGCCUCAACUGAUUGCACAACAGGUGUAGGGUUGACCGGGUCAGCCUCAAACCCUUCAAAAUCCUUCUUUUGGACACAAUCUGGCCACAAUUUUCUCCAAGCAGGGUUCAUUGUCCUGGAAGUCACUCCUUGCCAAGCCUUAUCUAUAAGGCCUAUGCAGUGGAAGAUAUUGAAGUGAUUCUUGCAGAACUCUCUUAGGGUCAAUUCAGAGUCCAAGGUUAUGUCAAAGCACCUUCGAAACAUUGCUUUGGUGUACAGUUUUUUGAAGUUUGCAAUGAUCUGCUGGUCCAUGGGCUGGAGGAGAGGAGUGGUGUUAGGAGGCAAGAACUUCACUGUUACAAAACUGAAUUCCUUAGACAAGUGAUCUUCUAAGUCUGGAGGAUGAGCAGGAGCACUGUCCAUUAACAGAAGGCACUGGAGUGGCAAUUUAUUAUCCAGGUGGUAUUUCUUCACACUCGGGCCAAACACUUCAUUGAACCAUUCCGGGAAAAUUUCUCUAGUGACCCAUGCUCUACUGUUAGCCUCCCACAUAACACAAUUUACUCUUGACACCACUGUUUUUCUUGAACACACUGGGAUUUUCAUUGAUACACCAGUAAAGGCUUCACUUUGAAAUAUCCACUAGCAUUACCACACAAGAAAGUUAGCCUGUCUUUCAUAGGCUUGUGUCCUGGGAGUCCCUUUUCCUCCUGCACAACGUAGGUCCUCUUUGGCACUUUCCUCCAAAACAGGCCUGUUUCAUCACAAUUGAACACUUGUUGGGGUUGAAAUUUUUCGGCCUCUACACAACACGUGAAUUCCCGCACAAAUUUUUCAGCCGCUUGUUUGUCUGAACUGGCACCCUCGCAGUGCCUUACAACACUGUGUAUGCAACUUCGCUUCUUGAAUUUUUCAAACCAGCCUUUGCUGGCCCUAAAUUCACCUACAUCAGCACUUGUUUCAGGCAGUUUCUUUAAGAGGUCAUCAUAUAACAGUCUUGCCUUUUCACAAAUAAUUGACUGCACAACAUCAUCUGCUAACUUUCUCUCUGAUCCACACCAACAACAAUUUCUCCAUUUCUUCAAUUGUUUGGGAUCUUUGUUUGGUUAUUGCAUUCACCCCUUUCACAACAUCAGCUUCCAUGAUUUCUUUUCUCUAUGCCACAAUGGAGCGAAUUGUUGAUGGCGACUUCCCGUACAUCCUGCAGAGUUCAGCAAUGCGUAUGCCACUAUCGUAUUUUCUUAGGAUUUCUUUUUUCAGUUCUACAGUGUUCCUCACUUUCUUUACCAAAGCACUGGCACUAGGAGCUUUCUUUGGGGCCAUGGUCGCUUAUUUAGUAGUCACACACAAUAAACAAGUGGUAAAAACAAUGGAUUAUUACGAAAUGUUUUGUAUCACCUGGCAGGAUUUGUUCACUCACUGAGAAACAACGCUACACUGGCUGAGAAUGGCGUGGGAGGCGGCUUUGUCUGCAUGCUCGGCACUGGACAGGUUCUGUACGAUUGACGAAAACAGAGCCAAAAAAUCGACAAAAAAAAGUCGGCCAAAACCAAAAUCGGCAAUAAUCGAGAUCGACGAAAAUGGAGGGUCCACUGUAUAGCAAAAAUUCUUUUAUUACAGCAUUUUGUCUACACAAGGCUUUAUCAAAUACAUGAAAAUACAACA
This is a non-coding RNA of Cherax quadricarinatus, 4693 nucleotides long. The record is from RefSeq and is a predicted model, not a curated record. NCBI's taxonomy places the organism in Eukaryota, Metazoa, Arthropoda, Malacostraca, Decapoda, Parastacidae.